ACGGCUCAGUAACACGUGGAUAACCUGCCCUGCGGUGGGAAAUAACCCCGGGAAACUGGGGAUAAUGUCCCAUAGGUUACGGAUACUGGAAUGUUCUGUAACUCAAAGAUUUAUCGCCACAGGAUGGGUCUGCGGCCGAUUAGGUAGUUGUUGGGGUAACGGCCCAACAAGCCUUUGAUCGGUACGGGUUGUGGGAGCAAGAGCCCGGAGAUGGAUUCUGAGACACGAAUCCAGGCCCUACGGGGCGCAGCAGGCGCGAAAACUUUACAAUGCGGGAAACCGUGAUAAGGGAACUCCGAGUGUCCGUAAAUGCGGACUGUCCGUAUGUUUAAAAAGCAUGCGAAGAAAGGGCCGGGCAAGACCGGUGCCAGCCGCCGCGGUAAUACCGGCGGCUCGAGUGGUGGCCACUAUUAUUGGGCUUAAAGCGUUCGUAGCUGGAUUGUUAAGUCUCUUGGGAAAUCUAUCGGCUUAACCGAUAGGCGUCCAAGGGAUACUGGCAAUCUAGGGACCGGGAGAGGUGAGGGGUACUUCAGGGGUAGGAGUGAAAUCCUGUAAUCCUUGGGGGACCACCUGUGGCGAAGGCGCCUCACCAGAACGGCUCCGACAGUGAGGGACGAAAGCUGGGGGAGCAAACCGGAUUAGAUACCCGGGUAGUCCCAGCCGUAAACGAUGCGCGUUAGGUGUAUCGAUGACCACGAGUCAUCGAGGUGCCGAAGGGAAACCGUGAAACGCGCCGCCUGGGAAGUACGGUCGCAAGGCUGAAACUUAAAGGAAUUGGCGGGGGAGCAC
RNAcentral lists this ribosomal RNA (789 nucleotides) under uncultured Methanomicrobiaceae archaeon. Its description in RNAcentral is "bacterial SSU rRNA". It matches the Rfam family "Archaeal small subunit ribosomal RNA", at positions 85 to 879 of the family's 1478-position model. Lineage: Archaea; Methanobacteriati; Methanobacteriota; Methanomicrobia; Methanomicrobiales; Methanomicrobiaceae. The record is from RNAcentral.